GACGAACGCUGGCGGCGUGCUUAACACAUGCAAGUCGAACGGAAAGGCCCGCUUGCGGGUACUCGAGUGGCGAACGGGUGAGUAACACGUGGGCGACCUGCCCUCAGCUCUGGGAUAACUCCGGGAAACCGGUGCUAAUACUGGAUACGACUGCGCAUCGCAUGGUGUGUGGUGGAAAGUUUUUCGGCUGAGGGAUGGGCCCGCGGCCUAUCAGCUUGUCGGUGGGGUAAUGGCCUACCAAGGCGACGACGGGUAGCCGGCCGGAGAGGGCGACCGGCCACACUGGGACUGAGACACGGCCCAGACUCCUACGGGAGGCAGCAGUGGGGAAUAUUGCGCAAUGGGCGAAAGCCUGAAGCAGCGACGCCGCGUGGGGGAUGACGGCCUUCGGGUUGUAAACCUCUUUCAGCUCUGACGAAGCGAAAGUGACGGUAGGAGCAGAAGAAGCACCGGCCAACUACGUGCCAGCCGCCGCCGUAA
RNAcentral lists this ribosomal RNA (480 nucleotides) under uncultured bacterium. RNAcentral describes it as "partial 16S ribosomal RNA". It matches the Rfam family "Bacterial small subunit ribosomal RNA", at positions 28 to 523 of the family's 1533-position model. The record is from RNAcentral.